RNAcentral lists this long non-coding RNA (2550 nucleotides) under Bemisia tabaci. RNAcentral describes it as "lncRNA ENSSSA3NGG000067". Lineage: Eukaryota; Metazoa; Arthropoda; Insecta; Hemiptera; Aleyrodidae. The record is from RNAcentral.
UGAUUAUUCAGCGGUACUGCACCACCGAAUAAUCACAUAUUCUACGGCAGUAUGGUACCGCUGAAUAACAUAUUCUGCGGUGGUACCAUACCGCCAAAUAACGCCAUUCAAUUGAAAAAGUUGUGCACAAAAGAGUCAAGGAAAAUUCUUACCAAAAUUACUACCAUUUACUCUUCUUCAUUGGACGACUAGACCCGUGUAGUCUACCUCUGCUGGAAUAGGUGUGGAAGUGAAGAAGUACCUCAAAUAUUUCUAUCAGUGCAUAUCCUGAAAAAAAAUUUUAAUCUCCCGCAGUCUGGAAACAUGUUUGAAAACAUGCCUAUUAAUUCUGAUCGAGAUUAUUUAAUCAUUUUUCCCUGUUUAGGUACAUGAAAGUAAGCUUCGAACCAAGAUGGAGCGAAUUAUUACAGCAUGGAAAUUUGCGGUCCAAUCCUACCUCAAAUGAUACACAAUAUCUGUGAUUUACUGCAUGUACCUUUGUCAGAAUUUCUCUGACGUUCGCCAACGUGGAAUCAACCAAACCGUUCUCUUUAGCUCAUUCUGCAGUGCAAGAAGAGACAAGCGACUCCUAUGAAUCACCGAACAAAUCAUGUCACAGCGAGUCCAACCACAGUGGAAUUUCCAUAGGCACAAGACAUAACAUACCCAGUGUGUUCGGUCAACAAAACCUCAGUGAUAGUGGUCUGAGAGCCUCUGUUUUAAAACGUUUCUGUAGCUCCAAGCUGGACGAUGUUCAGACCUUCGAUAGUCUAAAAUUCUCAAACGGAGUCUUUGAAUGUUCAUAGAGAUUUUUUUUUCAGAAUUUCCAACUCUAAAAUUUUUGGAGAAAUGUUUUUUUAGAAAAGCGAAAAUCUUAGUAUUUUGAUCAUUGAAACUAUCUCCUGCUCCUCCACAGAUCAUCUUGAUCAGGUAUCAACAUCCUCUUAGAUUUAUUGAAAGUUGUCUACCUUUGAAAGAUUUCUCAAGUUCCUCAGGAAUUUUCAGUUGUCUUAUGAUUGUUCAACAUGGGACAUAAAAACUAACUGCUAUUUUAGGUAAUAAGUUUUUACAUUUUUUGAAAACAGGCUUUUAAUGUCUAGCCUUUAAUUAGAUUCCAGUUUGGAAAAAUAUCCACAUUUUAUCGUACUGUUGAUCACUGGAGUUUUAAAAAUUUGACUAAAAAUAUUCUGUAUAUUUAGUUCCUAACUUUUUUUAAAUAAUACUUUUUUAUGUAAAGAAGAAAACUAGUCGAAGCUGCAAAACAUGAGAUUUUAACUACCAACAAGCUUGUUUCCAAAUUAGUAGAUGUAAAAGAAGAUCCAAAGACCUUAUUUCCCUAUUCAAUAAAAGAGAAAAGAUUAAAUUACAUAAUUAGUGUUUUGGUAGAUCUUUAAACUUAUUUUUAACACUUUUCUUCUCUGAAUGGAUUUGCUGUUUUUUAUCUAUAUGAUAUUUUUGGUUUUUGUAUUGUAAGUUGGGGGUGACAUUCUGUGAUAACCAAUUGUGAAUUUAACAGUGUAAAGGUUUUUGAAUUAAAAUUGUAAUUUUUCCAUUAUUAUAACAUUUGCAUCGUGUAUUUUUUUGUGUAUUUGACUGACAUUCUAGCAUAACUCAUAAUCGUUCUUUCACUUUCAUUUUUGUUGAUGGGGUUUUGUUUGUAGCACUUUUACUCCAUAUUCUACUUUGAAAUGCAUGAAUCUCCGUUCGUUUUACUAAAAAGCAAGAUAUUAAUUUCUUUCUACAUAAUUUGCUUGAACUGAAUCGCUUGAACUGCUUGAUAGAACCUGAUCUUGAGUUGCAGUUUAUAUGCGCGUGAAAAAUAUUCCCUCAAGGCAAUAUAAAUGAAAGCGCAUUGAAAUAAUGUUUUGGAAAAACUGCUCUUUAAAAAAUUUGUAUUUUUUAUUUCAAGUAAGUUUAAAAUAAUUAUUUACUCGAUUUAAUGGAAUUUUUACCGUGCUCACUGCUCAUGCCUUUCAUACCUUUGCAGCAAAUCGGGAGAAUUCGUCGCCAGAUAAGGAAAUUUUAAAGAACAUCUUGUUAUCAAACUGAUCUGGGUCUAUCAACCUUGCAGAACUCCACCCACCUAGAUGUCCUACCCUAGAUUCUUUCCACAUAGAGAAAGAGAAUGGAACUGGGAAAUUGAGAAAUAUUAAUCUAGCAACUGAAAGAAUGAGUAACAGUGAAAUAUGACAACAGUCAAUGGUUUCUUUCCCCUUUUUCUCUUUUCAAUACUUCAAUUUAGGUUUCUUUCUUCAUGUGCGAUAUGUAGAGUUUUUUUGCAAUUUCAUUUCCUGAUUAUCUGGAUGUUUCUGCAUGCAGAUAAGUCUUAUAAAAAUUAAUAUUGGUUGAAAAUUAGAAUUCUAGUGCGAGCUCUUAAUGGACCAAGUUUAACAAAGAUACAACAAUUCACAAUUUGGAGAAAAGUAAGUUCAUCUAGAAUUCAUCUAGCCGUAAAUCUUUUUCAGUCACGAAUUCAAAAUCUAAAUAAAAUAUUUUAAACUUGAUAAUAGUCGUUAAAACUUCGUCCAUAACAUCAAUUUUAAAUAAGGGUAACUAAUAACUUAAUCAAGG